ACUCCGACCCGCUCCCAAAGUGGCUUCACAAUAGUCGGUCCUCGGCGGUGUAGGCUGCGCACCAGGUCCACACUUAAGCGAAAUCAAGGAGACCCCCUUCUACUUCUACCUUUGGGCUUGGUGCUCAAUGCGAAGCUGCUGCAACUCAGGCACGCCUAAGUCAACUCAUGCAGAAAAAGGAGAAAAGUUUUGGUAUACAAAUGCUCUCAGUCCAGCCAGACACCAAGCCGAAAGGUUGUGCUGGCUGCAACCGAAAGAUCAAGGACCGGUAUCUUCUAAAGGCACUGGACAAAUACUGGCAUGAAGACUGCCUGAAGUGUGCCUGCUGUGACUGUCGCUUGGGAGAGGUGGGCUCCACCCUGUACACUAAAGCUAAUCUUAUCCUUUGUCGCAGAGACUAUCUGAGGUAGGAAUUAUCCUUGCACACCAGUGAUGACUGGAUGCCUUUUAAAGUACUUUUGUAAGUGUAUUUUUUGUUUGCUUGUUUGAUUUCCUUACUGCCAGCUUAUAUUCCUGAAAGAAGUUGACCUGUCAGCCUUCAAAGUGUUGCCCUGUGUGUGUUACUCAAAUUAAUGCUUAAGGAAUAGCCAGCAAACCACAAUAUUUAAAGUAUUUCAAUUGGGCUUGCCUGCACACUCAGGCAAUUGGUUAUGGCGCUGCCUAUAUUGAAACUGCCAGUUAAUGUCAAGGAUGUAUUUGGUCGAAAUCAGCAUUCAGGUUGAUUUACUUAUUUUUGCUUUUUUUUUUUUUUUUUUUUUUUUGGAGCUUAAGGGGGAAUGGGGGUUGAGCAUAACACAAAGAAAUUAAUCAGCCAUUUGGCAAAGUAUCUUAACUAUUUUUCAAAAGUUCAACUUGAAAAAAAAUGGACUGUGUAAAACAGUUUAAUUGUUGCCUCUAAGUUGGACCUGAAUUUAGUCUUCUAAAGUUAUUCAGCUGUCUUCUCUGUUUCAAGUGUGUCAGAGGAAGUCAGGUGCAAAUCCUUGGUUAAUAUCUAUUAGUGCAUUUAUUGUAGAGUUUUGAAAACUUUCCCCAAGUGU
RNAcentral lists this small RNA (1037 nucleotides) under Pan troglodytes (chimpanzee). Its description in RNAcentral is "retained intron". Lineage: Eukaryota; Metazoa; Chordata; Mammalia; Primates; Hominidae. The record is from RNAcentral.